GAUGAAGAACGCAGCGAAAUGCGAUAACUAGUGUGAAUUGCAGAUUUCAGUGAAUCAUCGAGUCUUUGAACGCACAUUGCGCCCUCUGGUAUUCCGGAGGGCAUGCCUGUCCGAGCGUCAUUGCUGCCCUCCAGCCCGGCUGGUGUGUUGGGCCCCGUCCCCCUUCCCGGGGGGACGGGCCCGAAAGGCAGCGGCGGCACCGCGUCCGGUCCUCGAGCGUAUGGGGCUUUGUCACCCGCUCUUGUAGGCCCGGCCGGCGCCAGCCGACCCCCUCAAUCUAUUUUUCAGGUUGACCUCGGAUCAGGUAGGGAUACCCGCUGAACUUAAGCAUAUCAAUAAGCGGAGGA
Molecule: unclassified non-coding RNA, 347 nt
Filed under: soil metagenome
Description: partial contains 5.8S ribosomal RNA, internal transcribed spacer 2, and large subunit ribosomal RNA
Rfam family: 5.8S ribosomal RNA (bases 1-120)
Source: RNAcentral